CCUUCGGGUUGUAAACCUCUUUUAGUAGGGAAGAAGCGAAAGUGACGGUACCUGCAGAAAAAGCACCGGCUAACUACGUGCCAGCAGCCGCGGUAAUACGUAGGGUGCAAGCGUUGUCCGGAAUUAUUGGGCGUAAAGAGCUCGUAGGCGGUUUGUCGCGUCUGCUGUGAAAUCCCGAGGCUCAACCUCGGGGCUUGCAGUGGGUACGGGCAGACUAGAGUGCGGUAGGGGAGAUUGGAAUUCCUGGUGUAGCGGUGGAAUGCGCAGAUAUCAGGAGGAACACCGAUGGCGAAGGCAGAUCUCUGGGCCGUAACUGACGCUGAGGAGCGAAAGCAUGGGGAGCGAACAGGAUUAGAUACCCUGGUAGUCCAUGC
This 374-nucleotide ribosomal RNA is filed under the name bacterium. RNAcentral's name for it is "bacterial SSU rRNA". It matches the Rfam family "Bacterial small subunit ribosomal RNA", at positions 415 to 800 of the family's 1533-position model. The record is from RNAcentral.